RNAcentral lists this ribosomal RNA (400 nucleotides) under uncultured bacterium. Its description in RNAcentral is "bacterial SSU rRNA". It matches the Rfam family "Bacterial small subunit ribosomal RNA", at positions 355 to 752 of the family's 1533-position model. The record is from RNAcentral.
UGAGGAAUAUUGGUCAAUGGGCGCGAGCCUGAACCAGCCAAGUAGCGUGAAGGAUGACUGCCCUACGGGUUGUAAACUUCUUUUAUAAAGGAAUAAAGUGAGGCACGUGUGCCUUUUUGUAUGUACUUUAUGAAUAAGGAUCGGCUAACUCCGUGCCAGCAGCCGCGGUAAUACGGAGGAUCCGAGCGUUAUCCGGAUUUAUUGGGUUUAAAGGGAGCGUAGAUGGGUUGUUAAGUCAGUUGUGAAAGUUUGCGGCUCAACCGUAAAAUUGCAAUUGAUACUGGCAGCCUUGAGUACAGUUGAGGUAGGCGGAAUUCGUGGUGUAGCGGUGAAAUGCUUAGAUAUCACGAAGAACUCCGAUUGCGAAGGCAGCUUACUAAACUGCCACUGACAUUGAUGC